Molecule: non-coding RNA, 45 nt
Organism: Schistosoma mansoni
Lineage: Eukaryota; Metazoa; Platyhelminthes; Trematoda; Strigeidida; Schistosomatidae
Source: Rfam
AUCCAGCUGGCGAGUCCCAAAUGGGACGAAACGCGCGUCCUGGAU